CAACACAAUCAGUGUGAUAUGUUUUUGUUCUGUAAAAAACAAGUAAUGGCAACAAACCAUUCGUUCCUCAAUCCAUCGUCAGCGGCAUCACUCCUUCAACCUACACAGUAACUUGAACAUGAUCGAAGGAAUGUGCAGCUUCAGCCUAUCCUUGGGAAAUAAACCUAAAUUGAAAGAGCAUAUGCAAUAAUGUGUUGGUCAUGCUGAGGAGAUUAAAAAGCUUGCUAAAGUUCACACUCAGGUUUUUGAACAUCUCUGUCUUCAAGUCAUUAAUUUUUCAAGUUUCAUGGUCCUCGCCCUGUCAGACGGAAUCGAGUUAAAGCGUAUUUAUAUAGUUUACCAUUGCUACGAAGGAAAAGAGUAUGAAAAGGACUUUCGGAACAUAUUUUUUCUGCAGUGAUGUUGCUAUUCAACCAACAACCACGAUAAAAAAGGGCAAUAACCAUUCGGACCAUGGAUUCAAAUUGCGGUCCACGUCCGCAAUUGUGCCGCAAUAUUGCUUAUGGUAGCCUUUACAGUUGCAUCACACUGCAAUUGCAGCGUGAUUUUCAAUCCCGUGUGCGGCCACAUCAAGAAUUGCAUCAGACGAUUUCAACUAUAUUUGUUCAAAUUUUCUCACAAAAAUUUAAAUUUUAGUACUCAAAUUUCAAUCAACUUUAGAUCU
Long non-coding RNA from Trifolium pratense (red clover), 664 nucleotides. RefSeq lists it as uncharacterized. The record is from RefSeq and is a predicted model, not a curated record. NCBI's taxonomy places the organism in Eukaryota, Viridiplantae, Streptophyta, Magnoliopsida, Fabales, Fabaceae. The transcript has 5 exons.